UGUGCCGAUCAGUGUUUGCUGCACUCCCCAGAAAAAAGGACACUUUCUCUCCAGGAAGAAAAAGGGCAGGUGCUCAAGCCUCUUUUGAUGUCUAUAUGUGCACGUGCCUGGCUUAAGUGGAGUGAAGGGUUUAGUCUUAUCUACUCAGGCGACUGUGAGACUCAUCUUCCAUGUAUCCGCACAUAUUGGGUAAAGCGGGGAUUUAAGGAUGGAGAUGAUGGAGAUUAUUUCACCAGUAGGACUCACACAGUAUUUAUCUGACAGAAGAGGAAAAACGUUACCGGCUGGUGGAAUUGAUGGAAUAUGCACAGAGGGCAAAUAUAUUUGUUUUAGACAUUGAUUUAAAGUAGCCAUUGAGAGGAAGGGGUCAAGAACUAUAGAAUUCAGCAGCAAACACUUACAAUAGCCAAAUGGAUGAAAGAUUUUCUCAGUGUGAAAGGGAUGAAGAAAGAAAAUAUUGAUAUACUGAGAAUGUGAAUGGACCACCAUUUGAAUAGUGUGUGAAUUUGUGGUGUACUUGUAAGCAUAACAGCAUGAUUGGUGGUAAUUAUGUGCUCUUUAGAAGAUAAAUGCUGCACUUAUAUUCCUCAGCAACAGUCUGUCCUUCUUUCAGUUACACACAGCACACAAAGACCAAAUAUAACAUUUACAUUCAUCUCAUAAAUUCUUUUAAA
This is a long non-coding RNA of Cyprinus carpio (common carp), 674 nucleotides long. RefSeq lists it as uncharacterized. The record is from RefSeq and is a predicted model, not a curated record. The transcript has 3 exons. NCBI's taxonomy places the organism in Eukaryota, Metazoa, Chordata, Actinopteri, Cypriniformes, Cyprinidae.